RNAcentral lists this ribosomal RNA (497 nucleotides) under uncultured bacterium. RNAcentral's name for it is "partial 16S ribosomal RNA". It matches the Rfam family "Bacterial small subunit ribosomal RNA", at positions 28 to 507 of the family's 1533-position model. The record is from RNAcentral.
GAUGAACGCUGGCGGCGUGCCUAAUACAUGCAAGUCGAGCGAACGGACGAGAAGCUUGCUUCUCUGAUGUUAGCGGCGGACGGGUGAGUAACACGUGGAUAACCUACCUAUAAGACUGGGAUAACUUCGGGAAACCGGAGCUAAUACCGGAUAAUAUUUUGAACCGCAUGGUUCAAAAGUGAAAGACGGUCUUGCUGUCACUUAUAGAUGGAUCCGCGCUGCAUUAGCUAGUUGGUAAGGUAACGGCUUACCAAGGCAACGAUGCAUAGCCGACCUGAGAGGGUGAUCGGGCACACUUGAACUGAGACACGGUCCAGACUCCUACGGGAGGCAGCAGUAGGGAAUCUUCCGCAAUGGGCGAAAGCCUGACGGAGCAACGCCGCGUGAGUGAUGAAGGUCUUCGGAUCGUAAAACUCUGUUAUUAGGGAAGAACAUAUGUGUAAGUAACUGUGCACAUCUUGACGGUACCUAAUCAGAAAGCCACGGCUAACUACGUG